Molecule: ribosomal RNA, 253 nt
Filed under: uncultured bacterium
Lineage: Bacteria
Description: partial 16S ribosomal RNA
Rfam family: Bacterial small subunit ribosomal RNA
Source: RNAcentral
UACGAAGGGGGCGAGCGUUGUUCGGAGUUACUGGGCGUAAAGGGCGCGUAGGCGGCGAUCCAAGUUAGGCGUGAAAGCCCCGGGCUUAACCUGGGAAUUGCGCUUAAGACUGGACUGCUUGAGUGCGGGAGAGGUGAGUGGAAUUCCCAGUGUAGAGGUGAAAUUCGUAGAUAUUGGGAAGAACACCAGUGGCGAAGGCAGCUCACUGGGACGGUACUGACGCUGAGACGCGAAAGCGUGGGGAGCAAACAGG